Molecule: unclassified non-coding RNA, 339 nt
Filed under: soil metagenome
Description: partial contains 5.8S ribosomal RNA, internal transcribed spacer 2, and large subunit ribosomal RNA
Rfam family: 5.8S ribosomal RNA (bases 1-120)
Source: RNAcentral
GAUGAAGAACGUAGCGAAAUGCGAUACGUCGUGUGAAUUGCAGAAUUCAGUGAAUCAUCGAAUCUUUGAACGCACAUUGCACCUCUCGGUAUUCCGGGAGGUAUGCCUGUUCGAGCGUCAUUUGUACCCUCAAGCUCUGCUUGGUGUUGGGUGUUUGUUCCGCCUCUGUGUGUGAACUCGCCUCAAAACAAUUGGCAGCCGGCGUACUUGUUUCGGAGCGCAGCACAUUUUGCGAUCCAGAUCAACGUACAGCGGCAUCCAAGAAGCCUUAUUUAACGCUCUUGACCUCGGAUCAGGUAGGGAUACCCGCUGAACUUAAGCAUAUCAAUAAGCGGAGGA